GUAGCACUGCAAGGCAGGUGAAUGUGACCCUAUUUUUUGAGCUAACAACUAAUUCUUGGAGGUUUGAUUGGCGCUCCCGUGCGCAGGCUCAGCCUGAGGCCAAUGGAUCCACAGGCCGAGAAGCCUAACGGAGCGCAUCGGACCACCCCCGUAUAGAUACGGGUUCAAGAAAUAGCUCACACACGGCCAAGCGGUCUGCCC
This 201-nucleotide non-coding RNA is filed under the name Acidobacteriota bacterium. RNAcentral describes it as "Acidobacteria bacterium (groundwater metagenome) 6S RNA". It matches the Rfam family "6S / SsrS RNA". From Rfam's summary of the family: E. coli 6S RNA was the first non coding RNA to be sequenced, but its function was unknown until recently. It consists of 184 nucleotides that fold into an extended hairpin structure with a large single-stranded internal bulge. The record is from RNAcentral. Lineage: Bacteria; Pseudomonadati; Acidobacteriota.